RNAcentral lists this ribosomal RNA (507 nucleotides) under uncultured bacterium. Its description in RNAcentral is "bacterial SSU rRNA". It matches the Rfam family "Bacterial small subunit ribosomal RNA", at positions 17 to 518 of the family's 1533-position model. The record is from RNAcentral.
UCCUGGCUCAGGAUGAACGCUAGCGGCAGGCUUAACACAUGCAAGUCGAGGGGCAUCGGGAGUAGCAAUACUUGCCGGCGACCGGCGCAAGGGUGCGUAACGCGUGAGCAACAUGCCCGUAUCAGGGGGAUAAUCCAUGGAAACGUGGUCUAAUACCCCAUAGUAAUUAUGUAAGGCAUCUUAUAUAAUUUAAAGCUUUGGUGGAUACGGAUUGGCUCACGUGACAUUAGCUAGAUGGUAAGGUAACGGCUUACCAUGGCUACGAUGUCUAGGGGUUCUGAGAGGAAGGUCCCCCACACUGGAACUGAGACACGGUCCAGACUCCUACGGGAGGCAGCAGUGAGGAAUAUUGGACAAUGGAUGGAAAUCUGAUCCAGCCAUGCCGCGUGCAGGAAAGACGGCCCUAUGGGUUGUAAACUGCUUUUGUAUGGGAGCAAUAAGGGCUACGUGUAGUCCGAUGAGAGUACCAUACGAAUAAGCACCGGCUAACUCCGUGCCAGCCGCUGC